This is a non-coding RNA of Drosophila melanogaster (fruit fly), 497 nucleotides long. The record is from Ensembl. NCBI's taxonomy places the organism in Eukaryota, Metazoa, Arthropoda, Insecta, Diptera, Drosophilidae.
AUGAUUAUAUUAUUGUUGGUUUAUCAACUAGCUAGGUAUUGGCAGUUCGAUGAUAUUAUUUGGUCAGCCCACUGUACGUGCUUAUGUACCCAUUCCAGAUCGACCAAAACGCCAACACUCCUGCCCAGCUCCUGCCCAGCUCCUGACCAAAUCGCUUAACACCCGCCACUCGAACUUCGAACAGCAUUCGGCGCUGUCUUUACGGCUAUUUAAGUGCCGCGGUCCCAGCCGGAAUGCCGGAAUGGAAUGCCAGUCCUGUUCAGCUCAGUUCAGUUCAGUUUGGUUCGGGUCCGUUCAGCCCGAGUGGUCGUGAUCCAAGGAUUCCCGACUCCGAUUCCGAUUCCUGCCGGUUGCCACGUAUUUAUUGGAAACAGACACGCGACCGCUGCAUAUUUUAUAAGCGCUAAUGUCAGACGCGUUGGAAGUUCCCGCAAGGCCCCCGGUGCCACCAAGAAGCCGCCAAAGAGCCCCAGGAACUGGCAGGACACCCGAAGCUU